RNAcentral lists this small RNA (85 nucleotides) under Roseburia sp. CAG:50. RNAcentral describes it as "Clostridiales-1 RNA". It matches the Rfam family "Clostridiales-1 RNA", at positions 1 to 85 of the family's 166-position model. Lineage: Bacteria; Bacillati; Bacillota; Clostridia; Lachnospirales; Lachnospiraceae. The record is from Rfam by way of RNAcentral.
UGAUGCCAGGGUCAAAAGCCUGAAACCACGAUGUGCUUGCACAGGAGUGGUUUUAUGGCUUAAUGACCCGCCCCGAUAUGAGCAU